CGGACGGGUGAGUAACUCGUGGAUAACCUACCUAUAAGACUGGGAUAACUUCGGGAAACCGGAGCUAAUACCGGAUAAUAUUUUGAACCGCAUGGUUCAAAAGUGAAAGACGGUCUUGCUGUCACUUAUAGAUGGAUCCGCGCUGCAUUAGCUAGUUGGUAAGGUAACGGCUUACCAAGGCAACGAUGCAUAGCCGACCUGAGAGGGUGAUCGGCCACACUGGAACUGAGACACGGUCCAG
RNAcentral lists this ribosomal RNA (241 nucleotides) under uncultured Staphylococcus sp. Its description in RNAcentral is "partial 16S ribosomal RNA". It matches the Rfam family "Bacterial small subunit ribosomal RNA", at positions 99 to 334 of the family's 1533-position model. The record is from RNAcentral. Lineage: Bacteria; Bacillati; Bacillota; Bacilli; Caryophanales; Staphylococcaceae.